GUGAGACGCUCUGGUGCACCGCCACCAUCCUGGGGACCCAACUGGCAGACGGGAGAAGGCCUGGCACUGGCCAGCCUAAAGGGCUCGGGCACUGGGCCAGAGCUGGGCCGGGCCUCAGCUGGGGUGGGACCUUUCUCCACAUGGAAGUUGCAGAACCGGUUUUCCAUCCCCAAGAAGGAAGCCUCUCUGCAGGUCUAGAGAAGCCACGUUCAUCUCAACCCCGACGGAGUACGCUUGCUCUCCAGGUACGGCGAGGGCAUGGCAGAAAGUCACCCCGUGCUGUUUCCACUCCUUCCUUACCACGAGACCACGACCGCUGGAUCAGACGUGCCCGCAGACAAGUGAACACGGAGCAUGCUCUCGCAUACGCGGGCCCCCGCCCCCAGUGCCUGUCCUGAGAGGCCCUGGGACACAGCCCUGUCGGGGGUCUGCCUGCACACCAGGGCUGGCCCUCCAGAGGGAGUCCCUGUGCCCCUGAUUACCAGCCAUGACCUGCCUUUGACUCUCUGGAGCAUGUUCCGAGGAGACGAUCGGAAGCCCCUGCCACGGGGAACCUGCUGCCAGGGAGAUAAGAACAUAUAAAGUCUAAGUAAAACAGCUGCUCGUG
This is a long non-coding RNA of Bubalus bubalis (water buffalo), 607 nucleotides long. RefSeq lists it as uncharacterized. The transcript is spliced from 2 exons. The record is from RefSeq and is a predicted model, not a curated record. NCBI's taxonomy places the organism in Eukaryota, Metazoa, Chordata, Mammalia, Artiodactyla, Bovidae.